Molecule: non-coding RNA, 426 nt
Organism: Paramisgurnus dabryanus
Lineage: Eukaryota; Metazoa; Chordata; Actinopteri; Cypriniformes; Cobitidae
Source: RefSeq, a predicted model, not a curated record
GGACACAAUGGUUAAUUCUGUUGGGGAGAGUGGUGUAGUUACACAAUCAACCAGACAACAUCAAAUGGAAAGUCUUCAACAAAGACUUUCUUAUUAUGGAACAGGAUGCAGCAUUCCAAAGAGCUUUGGAAACUGACAGACAGAAGCCUCAGAGAGAGAGAGAGGCCCACCGCAUUGCUAAAUGUAUAGAGGAGGCAGAGAAGAGGCGUGUCGAUAUUGUGAAUCAGAGGAUGGCUGAGGCAGAAAUGGCUUCUGAAACAGGUGGAACUUCCUUUUAGUUCCGUUAUUCUGAUGGAAGUUAUCGUAGGAGGGAUUUCCAUCUUGACAGCCCUAUGCAGGUAUGUGGAAUAGUCCAAUGACAUAAUUUACCUAUGAAGUCUUAAUGAAUUAAAUGUAACAGAAGCCCCUUUACACAUGCACAGUUUA